CCUACGGGGGGCUGCAGUGGGGAAUAUUGCACAAUGGGCGCAAGCCUGAUGCAGCCAUGCCGCGUGUGUGAAGAAGGCCUUCGGGUUGUAAAGCACUUUCAGCGGGGAGGAAGGCGGUGAGGUUAAUAACCUCAUCGAUUGACGUUACCCGCAGAAGAAGCACCGGCUAACUCCGUGCCAGCAGCCGCGGUAAUACGGAGGGUGCAAGCGUAAUCGGAAUUACUGGGCGUAAAGCGCACGCAGGCGGUCUGUCAAGUCGGAUGUGAAAUCCCCGGGCUCAACCUGGGAACUGCAUUCGAAACUGGCAGGCUAGAGUCCUGUAGAGGGGGGUAGAAUUCCAGGUGUAGCGGUGAAAUGCGUAGAGAUCUGGAGGAAUACCGGUGGCGAAGGCGGCCCCCUGGACAAAGACUGACGCUCAGGUGCGAAAGCGUGGGGAGCAAACAGGAUUAGAUACCCGGGUAGUC
RNAcentral lists this ribosomal RNA (464 nucleotides) under uncultured Klebsiella sp. Its description in RNAcentral is "bacterial SSU rRNA". It matches the Rfam family "Bacterial small subunit ribosomal RNA", at positions 338 to 795 of the family's 1533-position model. The record is from RNAcentral. Lineage: Bacteria; Pseudomonadati; Pseudomonadota; Gammaproteobacteria; Enterobacterales; Enterobacteriaceae.